RNAcentral lists this ribosomal RNA (656 nucleotides) under uncultured bacterium. RNAcentral's name for it is "bacterial SSU rRNA". It matches the Rfam family "Bacterial small subunit ribosomal RNA", at positions 136 to 788 of the family's 1533-position model. The record is from RNAcentral.
GCGGGGGACNACNNUGGNNAACCAGGCUAAUACCGCAUNUCUCUACGGAGUAAAGCGGGGGAUUUCGGACCUCGCGCCAUUGGAGCGGCCCGUGUCCGAUUAGUUUGACGGCGGGGUACANGCCACCGUGGCUACAAUCGGUAGCUGGUUCUGAGAGGAUGAUCAGCCACACCGGGACUGAGACACGGCCCGGACUCCUACGGGAGGCAGCAGUGGGGAAUAUUGGACAAUGGGGGCAACCCUGAUCCAGCGAUGCCGCGUGUGUGAAGAAGGCCUUCGGGUUGUAAAGCACUUUCGCGGGGGAAGAAACUUCGCGCUCUAACAUAGCGCGGCACUGACGGUACCCCGAGAAGAAGCGCCGGCUAACUCCGUGCCAGCAGCCGCGGUAAUACGGAGGGCGCAAGCGUUAAUCGGAAUGACUGGGCGUAAAGCGUGCGCAGGCGGCCGCGGAAGUCGGAUGUGAAAGCCCCGGGCUCAACCCGGGAACUGCGUUCGAAACUCCGCGGCUCGAGUCCGGCAGAGGAAGGUGGAAUUCCGCGUGUAGCGGUGAAAUGCGUAGAGAUGCGGAAGAACACUAAUGGCGAAGGCAUCCUUCUGGGCCGGCACUGACGCUGAGGCACGAAAGNCGUGGGUAGCAAACAGNGAUUAGAUACCCU